RNAcentral lists this ribosomal RNA (296 nucleotides) under uncultured bacterium. RNAcentral's name for it is "partial 16S ribosomal RNA". It matches the Rfam family "Bacterial small subunit ribosomal RNA", at positions 475 to 776 of the family's 1533-position model. The record is from RNAcentral.
CUAUGCGCCUUGCCAGCCCGCUCAGGUGUGCCAGCCGCCGCGGUAAUACGGAGGAUGCGAGCGUUAUCCGGAUUUAUUGGGUUAAAGGGUGCGUAGCGGGAUGCCAAGUCAGCGGUAAAAAUGCGGUGCUCAACGCCGUCGAGCCGUUGAAACUGGCGUUCUUGAGUGGGCGAGAAGUAUGCGGAAUGCGUGGUGUAGCGGUGAAAUGCAUAGAUAUCACGCAGAACUCCGAUUGCGAAGGCAGCAUACCGGCGCCCAACUGACGCUGAAGCACGAAAGCGUGGGUAUCGAACAGG